This is a non-coding RNA of Manis javanica (Malayan pangolin), 348 nucleotides long. The record is from RefSeq and is a predicted model, not a curated record. NCBI's taxonomy places the organism in Eukaryota, Metazoa, Chordata, Mammalia, Pholidota, Manidae.
ACAGUGUGAUGAGGAAUGCGCCAGGUCAGGACUCGGUGAGCUCCAGGCAAGAGGUAAGAGACUUCUGGGGACUGUGCAUCCAGCUGCCUCUGUGACUCUGCAGCUGUCCCACCGAGGACCUGGUUUUUAGCACACCUGGUCUGAGGUUUGAGCUCUUGGCCAUCCUAACUUGGCACAUCAAAGAUGGGGAAGAAGACACAGAGAGAAGAGGAACAGCCAGAGAAAUAAGUGGAAAAUGAGAAGAGUGAGUGAACCACAGAGUGAUGUCCACCCCCAGAUGCAGCCCCCUUGCUAUUCUUUUCACCUUCUGCAAAAAUGGCCCAAAACUAAGAACAACCAUGCUCUCCG